This 1133-nucleotide long non-coding RNA is filed under the name Oryctolagus cuniculus (rabbit). RNAcentral describes it as "lncRNA (ENSOCUG00000034079.1)". The record is from RNAcentral. Lineage: Eukaryota; Metazoa; Chordata; Mammalia; Lagomorpha; Leporidae.
CCUCUGUCCUGUGUCGCCUCUCUGUCGCUCCGCCUUUCAAACAAGGAAGCAAACCUUAAAGACACAGGGUCAGACACAGACGCCCCUGACUGACCGGAUGCCAAGGACUCUGGGCAAAGCCUCCGUGCCCGCACGGCGGGGGUCUCGUCAGGCCUCAGUCACCCUGUGAGCCCUCCUCAGGGCACUCCUGCACCCUGUGAGCCCUGCGCAGGCACCCCUGCACCGUGUGAGCCCUCCCCUGGGGCACCCCUGCACCGUGUGAGCCCUCCCCUGGGCACCCCUGCACCUGUGAGCCCUGCUCAGGAUACUCCUGCACCGUGUGAGCCCUCCCCACGGCACCCCUGCACCUGUGAGCCCUGCACAGGCAACCCUGCACCUGUGAGCCCUCCCCAGGGCACCCCUAAACCCUGUGAACCCUCCCCUGGGCACCCCUGCACCUGUGAGCCCGCCCCUGGGCACCCCUGCACCUGUGAGCCCGCCCCUGGGCACCCCUGCACCUGUGAGCCCUGCUCAGGAUACUCCUGCACCGUGUGAGCCCUCCCCAGGGCACCCCUGCACCUGUGAGCCCUCCCCAGGGCACCCCUGCACCGUGUGAGCCCUCCCCUGGGCACCCCUGCACCUGUGAGCCCUCCCCAGGGCACCCCUGCACCCUGUGAGCCCUCCCCAGGGCACCCCUGCACCCUGUGAGCCCUCCCCUGGGCACCCCUGCACCCUGUGAGCCCUCCCCUGGGCACCCCUGCACCUGUGAGCCCUCCCCAGGGCACCCCUGCACCCUGUGAACCCUCCCCUGGGUGCCCAAGUCAUUCUUCAAAGCAGAAUUCCUUUAUUCAAGGGGAGUUUAAAAAGUUCAUGGAAAAUGGAACUAAAAGUUAAGCGUAUAUUUGUUAUAUAAAAUGUAAGCUGAUUUUUGGUGCAAAAAAUUUUGAAAUCUCUGCAUCAUUUUUCACAGUGUGCAUUUUCAGUUAACAGGCGUGAACAAGUAUAUAAUGAAACUUUCGAAAUCCGAUGAACCAUAAACACUUUACAAGCUGUGGGAGUUUAUUCCUGCAUUUUAUCUGGAGGACUGGCUUUGUAUUUGUCAAUAAUUUGCCAACACAAUAAUUUAAUAAAGUUUUUGGCUAAUGUAAAAUCCA